RNAcentral lists this long non-coding RNA (863 nucleotides) under Monodelphis domestica (gray short-tailed opossum). Its description in RNAcentral is "lncRNA (ENSMODG00000031785.2)". Lineage: Eukaryota; Metazoa; Chordata; Mammalia; Didelphimorphia; Didelphidae. The record is from RNAcentral.
UCUACCUUUCUGCCAGGUCACAGAUAUCAACUGUGGUUUUGGCCUUUAUUUAUCAUCACAUAGCAUUCUGGCAUCCUUCCCAACCCCCAAAUAUGAGAGGAAUGAGAAGGUUACUUCGAAGGUCAUCUGUCUGAGAAGCUAUCCCUGCGACAAUGACAAGAAUCUUGAAUUUCAUCCAUAGGAGAGUACAAGGCAACUGGGGAAAACACACAUUGAGAAGCCUUGAGAAGUUGAUAUGCGUGUGUAAACCCCAAAGCCCCGAAGACUUUCCUGAAAGAGAUUCUUCCAAUCUUGAAAGAUUUGAUCAUGAGAAAAAAGGAAGCAGGUAUGUUCUGAAAAUAUUUUGAUUGUCCAGGAGUAAGAUAAUGAGAGCAUGGACCAGGAUGGAAACAAAGGAAAGGAAAGAUUCCUUCAGGAAGCCAGUGAGAAGAUGAGAAGUCCAAAAUUCCAUGGACUCUUUGAAAGUCACAAAAGUUUUUUUCCAGCCUAUGGGGGAAGACCCAAGGCAGAAGUCAAGAACUCUUCUCCGGUGAGAAGAAAUAAUAAAAGCUCUUUUAUCAAUCAACUUGACUUGGAGAGAGGAAGAAUAAAAGGAGCCUUUGAAACCACUUAAUAAGGAAAAGAUGGAUUUUACUUUUAGGAUGCAGUCAUUGCUCUUCUGUCAUUUACUGGAAGCUUUUCAUUAAAAGGCUGAUCUGACUUGGUUGUGAGUAAGCACUAUUAUUUUCCUGGAGCUUUCUGGAGACAAUGUUGAUGUCUAACUCUGGGGUGAUGCUCCUUAGUUGGUUGGGACCAAGUAAGAGGAAAAUAGGGAAUCCUGAAUGAAGAAGAAAUCUUUUGAAAAUGUGCUUUUUAUACAAGAG